Paramuricea clavata is the source of this 1438-nucleotide non-coding RNA. The record is from the annotation of a GenBank genome assembly. Lineage: Eukaryota; Metazoa; Cnidaria; Anthozoa; Malacalcyonacea; Plexauridae.
UAUUUCUCUGUUUAGGCCAACGGUAUCAAGUUAGGACCACAACAUUCACCAUCAAACCCCUCGAUGCCCAUGGGAGGUGGUCGAUCGAAUGACGGAGGGGGGUGUUGUUAAUUCACAUUCUCUUUUUGAACUGUGGGUAGAUUUCCACCAUAUCUCAAAAAAACAAUAUACAUAAAUUCUACAUACACAAUUUAUCAUGGUCAGAUCUAACUGCCAUUGUGGUAUUGCCUAUAUGUUGUAGAAUUCAUUUAAAACUAAAACUUACUCUCGGUACUUAAACCUCUCUAUUUAGGAAAAAAAUACUAAGGUAUUCUUGGGUUGCUGCUUGCAUAAAAAAUAUUUAUUGAAUCUUUUUGGACCACCAAAAAAUGAAAAAUCAUAUAUGAAUAUAUCCCAAAUUAAGAACUUCAUUUCGGCAUCGUUUAUUUUCUCGCAUUGUGAGGCCCGUUUCCAUUCAGGAAAAUUUUCCGCAGAAAGAAAAUUUUGUAAAAUGUGAUUGGCCGACAUAAAUUUUCCGUCGGAAAAAAAUUUUGAAGUUGAAAAUUUUCAACUUUUAACAAUGAUAUUUUCGGAAAAUUUUCUGCCCGUGGAAAUGUUUCUUGAGCGGAAAUGGGCCGUUACAGGAGGUUUAGAUAAAUUUUAUACGGUAGCACAUGAAAUAUGUCGUACUACAAAGGUAUUAGAGACCUUACGAUUUAGGACGGCAACGCCACCAAUACAAUAGAUCAUUGAAAAGAAUUGAAUAAUUACAAUAUAUGAAUAAUUUAGACAUUGUCCUCGCUCUGUUUACAACGCCAAAUCACAGAUUUUCACGUCUUCAUACAACGGCUGCAUUUCAAGCCACAACAAGUGCAACUUCAAACUGGGUUCAGCAGAACUCUUCCCAAACAUAAAACCCAUGUCUUCAACUUCCCUAAGACUGUAUUAAAUUCAUACGAUUGAUAAUAUACGACGAUUUAUCUUUACUACCAUUUAUUUGAAGGAGUUUGUCUUGGCCGUUGUCGUCGCGUUGCCGUCCUAAAAUCGGACUAAGGUCUCUAUUGAGUAAAUUAGAUGUAAACUCAUGCGAAGGGUCAGAUACACGUACGAUUUGUCGGGCCUGUAUUCAAUACAUUUGAUGAUACAGUUCAACACCUACAUAUAUUAUAUAUAGCCGAACAGCUUGUAUAUUAGUUUUGUAUUAGGCCUGUAUAUCAGUAUAACACAAGACUAGGAGUCGACCCGACAAAUCGUUAUGUGUAAUUGUAGCUUAAAUAAUGACAUUAACAUAAAUAUUCCAAAUGAAAUUGAAGUAUUUUAAGAUAUACUAUACGGACUGUUUAUCUGAUGUUUUCUUUAAUUUGAAAUUAUAAUAAUUUUCAAACCAAGGCGUUGUUAUUCAUGACUCAAUUAAUUAAUAGAAUUUGUCAUUGACGGAAAUACAACCAAAAUUUGGCAA